RNAcentral lists this ribosomal RNA (253 nucleotides) under uncultured bacterium. RNAcentral's name for it is "partial 16S ribosomal RNA". It matches the Rfam family "Bacterial small subunit ribosomal RNA", at positions 524 to 776 of the family's 1533-position model. The record is from RNAcentral.
UACGAAGGGGGCUAGCGUUGCUCGGAAUCACUGGGCGUAAAGGGCGCGUAGGCGGAUCUUUAAGUCGGGGGUGAAAGCCUGAGGCUCAACCUCAGAACUGCCUUCGAUACUGGCGACCUUGAGUCCGGGAGAGGUGAGUGGAACUCCGAGUGUAGAGGUGAAAUUCGUAGAUAUUCGGAAGAACACCAGUGGCGAAGGCGGCUCACUGGCCCGGUACUGACGCUGAGGUGCGAAAGCGUGGGGAGCAAACAGG